UAAUUUUAUUGAGCCAAUCUGAUUUAUUUAAUGUAGACAACUGUUAGGAUGGCAGCUGAACUCAUUUCAUUUUUUGCCUGGACCAAAAGGACAAUGGCAUCCGUAACAGAAAUUAUGGGGCAGAACUGCACUGUGUGCUAACAAUGGGACAUGAAACAUCACAUAGUGAUAAAGCAUAUUAGGGCAGAAAAUAAAUUAAUCCUAUUUAAAGAUCUAUCACUGCAUGUUUGCUAUUUUAGAACAAACUGAAUCUGGAGCCAAUAUUUGAUUUGGAAAAGCUAUUAAAAUACAAUGCAAACAUGCAAAAUGGAAUUUGAAGACUUCAACUCUUGGGAUCUUGAAAAGCAAGAGAGGAAAGAAAAUUGUCUUGCAGAUCAAUAAUCCACAGAGAUUUUCAGGAGAGACACACUGUCUCCAUUAAGCACACAAAACUCAAGUUAUAGAAGAAUAAUUUUCAGCACUUCCCAUUCAGUCACACUGUUUCUGCUGAGAAUCAGAGUUGCCAGUGGUGUAUCUAUUGGUUCCACCUGCUUCUUGAGUGUCUUCCAGAACAUCAUGAUGGUCCCAGAAACUCCAAGAUGUCAGAACUUAAAAUAAAAGCUCUACGCGCCUCUCUAACAAUCAGCGGCUGGAUCCUAACUGUGGGGGUAAAUACCACUUUCUCUCUUCUUGUGACUGAGAAUGAACAGUGGAAACAUCACAAAGAAGUUUGACUGGGAUUGCUGAAUAACAAGAUCACACAAUCACCAUUUGCCUUACUUUUAACUUCCUUCCUGUCGGCCAUUUAGGAUUCAUGAUCUGGGCCAGCAUCUCCAUAGUUUUCAAGCUCUUAAGAUAUAAACAGUGGUCCAGCACAUUCACAGGAACAACAUCUCCAGAAUUUCCCUGGAAGUGAGGGUUACCCAAGGCAUGCUUGUCUUGAUAAGCACCUUUGUAUCAUUUUAAGCUCUCUCUUCCACCUUUUCAUUUCAUUUGGCUCUUUCUGAAAAUCCCUGUUGGUGGGUGCUGAACCCCUCUGUCCUAAUCACCCCAUGGUUUUUUAACAAUCAGCCCUUUUGUUCUCUGGAGCCCUGACCUUAUUGUGUCCAGGGUCAUCUCUGCACGCUGCAGAAGGAAUACACAACCUUCUAAAAUGACAAGAUACCUAUAAA
RNAcentral lists this long non-coding RNA (1151 nucleotides) under Felis catus (domestic cat). RNAcentral's name for it is "lncRNA (ENSFCAG00000047001.1)". Lineage: Eukaryota; Metazoa; Chordata; Mammalia; Carnivora; Felidae. The record is from RNAcentral.